Molecule: ribosomal RNA, 301 nt
Filed under: uncultured bacterium
Lineage: Bacteria
Description: partial 16S ribosomal RNA
Rfam family: Bacterial small subunit ribosomal RNA
Source: RNAcentral
CAGUCGCCGCGGUAAUACGAAGGGUGCAAGCGUUACUCGGAAUUACUGGGCGUAAAGCGUGCGUAGGUGGUGGUUUAAGUCCGUUGUGAAAGCCCUGGGCUCAACCUGGGAAUUGCAGUGGAUACUGGGUCACUAGAGUGUGGUAGAGGAUAGUGGAAUUUCCGGUGUAGCAGUGUAAUGCGUAGAGAUCGGAAGGAACAUCUGUGGCGAAGGCGACUAUCUGGGCCAACACUGACACUGAGGCACGAAAGCGUGGGGAGCAAACAGGAUUAGAUACCCGCGUAGUCCCUGUCUCUUAUAC